AGCCCAGGCUGCCUGUAAACCCUCAAACUUGCUAUGUAGCUUUGAAAUUCUGAUCCUCCUGCCUCCAGCUGCCAAGCACUGGGAUUGCAGGGGUGUGCUAGGAUACUCGGCCCCCGAUAUAUGGCAUUUAAUUUUGCACUGAGAGCUACUCUGUCUACCACUCAAGUGAAAUGCAUCCGUCCACUGCCUAACCACCACUCUCCCCUCUGCUAGAAACCUUUUCUCCAACCUACUUCAAAGCGUUUGGCUAUCUUCUAAAUGGUGAGGGUCAUCGACAUCCAAACCUUCAGACAGCGGAAGAUUGCAGUGUCAGCAUGGCGCGGCCAGGAGAGACCGUCACCAAGAAGCCGGGACAGGAAAGGGAUCUUUAUAAGCUAUGACUAACAAGAAAAGCAAACUUUAGUAAUUCAGAGGCUGAGAGACAGAAUGAGACUUUGGCCAGCCACACAGGGAAUGGAGCAAGCAGGAGCUGUGACACAGCCCAACGGUAGAGUACCUGCCAAGUACGAGGAAGUCCUUGGGUUCGAUCCCCAGCAUAGGAAGAGAGCCAAGCUUGGUUGUAUCCACUCACAAUCACAGAACUCCGAAGGUGAACGCAGGAGGCUGAGGAGUUUAAGGUCAGCCAGGACUCGACGAGACCUCUUGAGAACGAAAGGAAAGAAGGGGGGCCGAGGCAUGAAGCAGGUCUUGCCAUCAAGAACUGGCAGAGACAUUCUCCUCCCACUCCUGUCACCUGCAUCAGAAAUAACCUGAUUACAGGCACACAGCGUACAUAACCUAUGAACCACACCCAUGCUCUGGAAGGUAGGACCUCUCCGCUUCCUCCGAAACCCUUAUAGAAAGUCCUCUCAUCUAAGAAUCCAGUGUAUCAUUAUCGUGAACACUCGGGCAUAGCCAACUUGUGACCUGAAAUGCACUGUGUAGUGGAGAUCGGCCAAACCCCACUAGAAAAGACCCCCCAACCAGAUGAGGGGUGGGAGGAUGGACAGGCUAGCAGAAAUGUCAGCAGUGACCUUGUGACCAGACACAGCGCCAGGUGUACUCUGCCUGUGUCCUGCCUCUGGACCCAAACUUCCCUACUCCUCUUCCUCUUCCUCCCUAUGCUAAUUAACACGAGGGUUGACUGGUGAUAAACCUCCACUUCAGUCUCUUAUAUGGCAGUGUCACUGAAUGGUAAAAAAUUAUUAGUUUUUUUUACCAGAGAUGGAUCCAGCGACUGCUGGGGCUGUGU
RNAcentral lists this small RNA (1231 nucleotides) under Rattus norvegicus (Norway rat). RNAcentral's name for it is "uncharacterized LOC102548961". Lineage: Eukaryota; Metazoa; Chordata; Mammalia; Rodentia; Muridae. The record is from RNAcentral.